RNAcentral lists this ribosomal RNA (395 nucleotides) under uncultured bacterium. RNAcentral describes it as "bacterial SSU rRNA". It matches the Rfam family "Bacterial small subunit ribosomal RNA", at positions 28 to 428 of the family's 1533-position model. The record is from RNAcentral.
GACGAACGCUGGCGGCGUGCUUAACACACGCAAGUCGAGCGGUAAGGCCCUUUGGGGUACACGAGCGGCGAACGGGUGAGUAACACGUGAGUAAUCUGCCUUUGGCUUGGGAAUAACUUCGGGAAAUCGGGGCUAAUGCCUGAUGUUUACUGUCUGCUGCAUGGUGGGUGGUGGAAAGAUUUUUUGGCCAGGGAUGAGCUCGCGGUCUAUCAGCUUGUUGGUGGGGUAAUGGCUUACCAAGGCUUUGACGGGUAGCCGGCCUGAGAGGGUGUUCGGCCACACUGGGACUGAGACACGGCCCAGACUCCUACGGGAGGCAGCAGUGGGGAAUAUUGCGCAAUGGGCGUAAGCCUGACGCAGCGACGCCGCGUGGGGAGUGAAGGCCUCGGUUGUAA